AUAGAAGGAAGGAUUUGGGGUGUUUGUUGUUGAAGGUUGACUUAUAAUAUGAUGAGAAAACCGGACUAUCUAAGUACGAUAGUGAAUAAUUCGAAUUAACGUUCCCACGGUGAUGUCAUAACGAUCACCUCGCACCUUCUUCCGACGCACAACUGGACGAUACAGAUUCAUAGAACCUAACCUCAUGGCCGCUAGGUUAUUUAGCGUCCCUCUUUCCUACAAUCAGUGACUACAAUCCAGAAGUUAACUGCGAGAAUGAGUUCAUUAAAAAGACUCGAUACUACUAACACAUGAUAGUAUUUGUAUAUACAUAUUAACUGAAAACUACAAAUUUUGAAUUUUUAAAUUAUGAAUGAUUAUAUAAUUAAAAAUAUUCUAUUUUAGAAGGAAAUAUAUUUAAUGUAAAAAUAAUGGAAAGUGAUGUAUAGUGAUCGCGUGUUUCUGUGGUGACACAUUGACCUAAUUUGAUCUGUCACUUCUAAAGGGCUUUAAACUGAACGCGUUACUUUAGAAUUCAUUAUGCCCUUAUUUAUGCAGUUGUAAAUGGUUUUUGAAAAUUAUAAACAUUAUAUAAACAGUAAAGUAAUGAACGCUACAUGAUAUAACGUUAA
Molecule: long non-coding RNA, 611 nt
Organism: Osmia bicornis bicornis
Lineage: Eukaryota; Metazoa; Arthropoda; Insecta; Hymenoptera; Megachilidae
Exons: 2
Source: RefSeq, a predicted model, not a curated record